UGUUAUUAUAUUGGAGAUAUUGACCUGUUUUUUAUUGAUUUUGAGGAAGGUUCUCUGUGCCUCCUGGCACUUGAGUGCCUGUUUCUUUCCCCAGAUGAGGGAAGAUCUCUGCUAUAAUUUGCUCAAAUAUGCCUUCUGCCCCCUCCUUCCCCUCUUUUUCUGGGAUCCCCAUUAUUCUAACAUUGUUUUGCUGUGUGGUACGAAUCAUCUCUCAAAUUCUCCUGUCAUAGUCCAGUGGUUGUUUCUCUCGCUUUUCCUCAGCUUCUUUAUUCUCCAUUGUUUUGUCUUCUAUAUCACUACUUCUCUGUGAAGCCUCAUUUAUCCUAGCAGUUAGAACCUUCAUUUUUGAUUGCAUCUCACUAAGAUUAGCCUUUUUUAUCUCAACUUGAUUAGAUAUCAGUUGUUUUAUUUCUCCAGAAAGGCAUUCUCUAAUGUCCUCUGUGUUUCUUUUAAGCCCAGCUAUUAUCUUGAUGGUCAUUAUUCUGAACUCUCGCUCCAGCCUCUUCCUUCUAUCCAUGCUGAUUAGGUUCCAGGCAGUCAGUACUACCUCUUGUUCUCUUUGUGGCGGUGAGUUUUUCCAUCUUGUCAUUCUGUCCAGAGAAGAAGAGAUGAGUGAGAGAACAGAAUAGAAAAAUAUCAAGAAUGACCCCAGAUAAAUACAUGCUAAACAAAUCAGAAGAGACCCGAAGCCAAUUUAAAGGUUAACAAAGGAGAUAAUAGAAUUAGAGAGAUCAAGAGAGCAGAGCAGUACACCGAUACUAUGUGAAUUUUGGUCUUUUUGUUAGGAAAUUGCAUCCCCAAAUGGUUAAGAGGAAACCUUGUAUAUAUACAAAAAUAAAAUUAAAUACAAGGAAAGUCUAGAAUGUAAGUGUAAAAAUGGAAAUUAAAAGUCAAAAUAAAAAGGAUAUUAUCAGCCAGUUGAACAGAACAGAGCAAUAUACUAUAUCAUAAGUUUAUUUUGGUCUGUUUGUUAGAAGAAACUACAUCCCAAAAUUGUAAAGAAUGAAAAACUUCAUUAUAUGCAAAAAUAAAAUUAAAUGCAAUGAAAGGAUAGAAUGUAACUGUAAAUAUGAAAAUUAAGAUAGAUUUUAAAAAUAUUAUAAUCAGACAGAUGAAGAGAAUAGAGCAGUAUAGUAGAUUCUGGUUGUAUUUUAGUCUAUUUCUUAGAAGGAACUACUUCCCGAAAUGGUACAGAAAGAAAAACUUCAAUAUAUACAGGAAUAAUAUUAAGAGCAGUGAAAGGAUUGAAUGCAAGUGUAAAAAGGUAAAUUGUAAGAGUUGAUAAAUGAAGAAAAUGGUUGAAAGCAAAAAGAAAAUUAAAAUAGAAAGACUAAGGAGUCAUGAGAAAUAGCCAUGAGUUCUGUAUACUGUUUGCCCCUAGCACUGGAGUUCUGCAGCUCUGUAUGAUGAGUAAAGUUGGUCUUAGCAGGAAGUUGUUGCUGACCUCCUGAGGGAGAGGCCUGUUGCACUGAUUCUUAGGUGUCUUUGCUUAGGGUGGGAUUGCACCACCCUUGCCAGGGGGCCAGGCCAGGUAAGCAGCUCCAGAUUGCUCUCUGUGGCUUUUGUUCCCUGAAGGCUUUCUGGGCAGCUUUAGAGGAUGAGAAUGAAAAUGGUGGCCUCCUAAUUUCCAGCCCUGGAAUUGAAAGAUCUCACUCCCUACUGUGUCUCCCUGGUUUCUGUCUGCACUCUGUAUUCACCCAGCCUGUGACCAAGCAUUUUUAUCUCAAGCACAGACCCCCUUUCGAUUUUCCAAACUUUGCAGACCCCUGUAGCUCCCAUUCACACUGUGCCUCUGGGGGGAAGGAGGAGGUCUUGCCCAGUUUUUCCUGCUUGGAAAGUGGUCACCUGACUGUUCCUCGGUUUGGGGUUUAUGGCAACACUGAGCUGAAUGCCCACUCCUGGGCUCACUGAUUGCAACUGGCUUCCCCGCUCAAACGCCUUGGCAACUGCCAUACUCAGGUGCCGCCCCCAUUCCUUCUGUGACCCCGCCCCCCCAGGGAUCCUGAGACCACACUGUCCGUCCCACUUAGGAUGCUGCCCCCCGUUGCCACCUGAGCAUCUUUCAGACAGGGAUGUCCUCACUGGAACAGACCUCUUAAAAGUUCUGGUUGUGCACUCUGCUGCUAUAUCACUUUCCAGGACUUGCCUUCUGGCUUCCAGAGGUUCCCUGCCGCCCUGGUUUAAUCUUCUGAUAUAUGCCUCUGAUUCAUUUCUCCACACCUCCUACCUUGCAGAAAGCGGUCGCUGUUCUAUUUGUAGAAUUGCAACAAUUCUUUUCUUGGAUCUCUGUCUGAGUCCACAGGUGUUCAGAAUGAUUUGAUACCUAUGUAGCUGAAUCCCAGACACCAGACAAAACUAGGGUCUCCUACUCCUCCACCAUCGUCCUCUUCUUCCAGAAAUUCUGUAUAUUCGAUUGAUCAAUAUUAAUUGUACUUUUUAUUAGAAUCCUCUAAACAGCAUUAUAGGUUUCUUCUCAGUUAUCCAGAUUAAAAUAAGUAGGGAUUUAUUUUAUUUAUGUGAUUAGCUUUCUAUUUAAGCAAAUUGUAGCUUUUACUUUCUAAAAGUAUCAUUUCCAGACCACGUUUCAUAAGCAAAAUAAAAUUCCUACAAUAAUGUCUCUUGUUUAACUUGAACAUUGUAAGUAACGUUUAACUUAUUUCAGAUGCAGCAGAUGUUGGAAGACAGUAUAAUCAGAGAACUAAAAGAAAUUGCUCAUGAUUGAGAAUCAGGAUUCUGUAGAUCUUCUCCUUUAGGACCUACUGACGAAUCAAAUGUAAAUCAAGAUCUAGUACUGCAAGCAUCACGAGAAUAUGUAGAGAUUUUGAAUAGAAAGUAUAUGAUCUGAAAGCUAUAUAGUAAAAGUUUAUUACCUAGAUGUUUAAUAUAACAUUUUAAUUGUUUCCCAGUAAAUAUCUGAUGUACAAAAAAUCUUUAUUAAAGGAAAUGUUGUUAUAUCGUG
This is a long non-coding RNA of Canis lupus familiaris (dog), 2959 nucleotides long. RefSeq lists it as uncharacterized. The transcript is spliced from 2 exons. NCBI's taxonomy places the organism in Eukaryota, Metazoa, Chordata, Mammalia, Carnivora, Canidae. The record is from RefSeq and is a predicted model, not a curated record.